RNAcentral lists this transfer RNA (81 nucleotides) under Ensifer meliloti. RNAcentral's name for it is "Sinorhizobium meliloti tRNA-Thr". Lineage: Bacteria; Pseudomonadati; Pseudomonadota; Alphaproteobacteria; Hyphomicrobiales; Rhizobiaceae. The record is from RNAcentral.
CUGUCGUAGAGCAGCUCGGUAGCUCGCCGAGCCUCGUAAGCUGGAGGUCGCAGGUUCGAACGACGCAACCUAUCUCACGGG